CCACAGCAGGGCCAGUGGUGUGGGGAGGGCAAGGGGAAGGGAGGUGGUUCUUUCUCUGAGCAGCAUCCUGCUUCCAGAAUCACCCCCUUCCCUCAUUUUCUCAGCUGCAGGCCCUAGGUCUCUCACCCAGAGAGGCAGGCCCAGAUCUUCCCUCGUAGCCCAGGCUCUUUGCUAUUGUCAGCCCCAUGGCUCCUCUCUGUCUGCUGCUAUCGUGAGCUUCUAUAUUUAACACAAGAUUUCUGUCUGCGGCAGAGGGCAUUUUCUGAGUCCCAGAAAGCUGCAAGAUGAAGUCUUUUGUACUGCAGAGGGAAGCUUUGAAGAAUCCCAGUGAUGUCUGAGUCCCUGAAACUUGUGCCACACAAGAGCACAGCUUGCAGUCACUGAGGAAUACAGCCGUGGAAGGUGGGUGCUGGGUUGCUCCUGAGCUGUGCUUGUCCCAUCAGCUUCCUCUGCUUCCUCCCUGUCCCUGGGGGCAGGUGGACACCUGCUGCCUGUGCUCUCAGAGAAGGCAGGAACCUCACUGCCAACCUCAGCCAACACAGGAAUGGGCCUCACAGCACACUACACUACACUACAGAGCCAUCUGUGAAGCUCCACCCACGUAACGUGCAUUUUUCAUGUUCUCUUUCCAUAUGUGGGUCAGAAUAACAGAGAAAGGCUUCAGGAGCUAUGCUGACCAGGCUUUAAGACUGGCUGUUGGAAGAGAGCCUUCCUCAGAAGUUGGCACCGAUUUGUCAAAUCAUGUUUUUUCCCCUGAUCUAAGCAUGCCAGCUCAGCUGGAGCAGCUUUGAACGAGGGUGGUCUGCAACAGCUCGCUGAAAGCGGUCGUUGGAGGACAAUAUUCCCACCCCUGUUUGUACUGCAGCAAUAUUUCACUGGAUUAGCACUGGAUGCAGCUCUGGCAAACUAAUGUACAUCCAUACCAAUUUGCGCAACUGUCUGCAGGCAGGUGACAUAUGGUGCAACUUUCUGCUGCUGCAAGCAGAGAAAGUCAGAUGCAGCCCACGGAAAUACUGAGUUAGGAAGGUGUGGCUUUCUGAUGGUUCACACAGGUCCUCAGGCUGAAAUCUGAAAGACAGAGCUGCCUCAGCUUCACCCAUCUCCUUCUCUCGUGGAAAAUAAAGUGGCUGCAGAGGGCAUUUUCUUGGGACUUUUUCUCAUAACAAAACCACGGCAUUUCCUGCUGCAUUCCCUGAGAUAAGAGCAUAUGGAUCUGAGAGAAAUGAAGGGGAAGUAAAAGAACUGCAGGUCUACGUUGCUACUUCUGAGGUCCCGAAUGAACGGCAGUGAAUAAAUAUUGCCGAGUCUUAAUGGAAAGUCAUGUCUUACCCAAGUCGCAUGCUUUUCACCAGAAAGAAAAGUGGAAGGCACAUGUCAGUGCCAACAGCACCAUCUUCUGUCUGCAGAGGUUAUGCAGCCUUCACUCACGCUUCCCUGAGUCCUCCAGAGAUGGGGCCGGUUGAGACUCCUGGAUCUACUGCUGGAUGUUGAGCUCUUCCUUUCGCUAGUGCUUUCGCUUCUACCCAACUUGUUCAGCUUCAUCUAAACUUAGAAGAUAUGUACACAGGUCCCACUCACGAAGAGCUCCAAGCAUGGCAUCCACCCAGCAGGAAGCUGUGUCCUCUGCAUCCCCUGCAGCCUCUCUGUCCACAGAAACCAACGUGGCUUCCCAGACAGAGCUCCCAGGGAACAUGCAGCCACUCAGGUGUAGGGUUGCAGAGAGUGCCUGAACUCUGGAACUCAAUGGACAAGCAAAUGUGGAUGAAGGUCCAUCCAGGUUGGAGGGGUCACUUAUGGUCACUUUCGUCAAGAAAAACAGAAAGGCAGUUGUUAGAGAAACACAGAAUAUAUCAAUCUGAAAGAGGAUCACCAGGAUCACUGAGUCCAACUGCCAGCUCCAAACAGAAACACCCAAAACUCAAACCCUAUGUCUGAGAGAAUUGCUCAAAUGCUCCUUGAACUCUAGCAGCCUGGGGCCAUGGCCACUUCCCUGGGGACCACUCCUGCUGCAGUUGUUAACAUACUGUUAAUACUAAGCAUAAAUUUUGCUAUUUAUGUACCAACUAGCUCAUUACAUAUUAAUGAAUGCCUUCUGGGUGUAUUCAGUGCUAGUCAGACAGGGAUAAUCUUUCUUCCCAUGACCCCUACUGUUCCUUUCUUUUUCUUGACUUCAUAUCUACCUUCCUGAUUUUUUUUCCCUUUAGCUUUCUGCAUCACGUUCACAUACUCCCUAGUCUAACCUCUCAUGAGCUGAAUUCCUCAUCCACUUGUCUGAUCUGACAAUCUGCAGUAGUGCAGUUCAAAUGUAAAUGCUGUGUUUCAGUUGAUAAGAUUUUGCACCCGUUGUGAUAAAAAUAAAGGCAAGGUGGAAUUCAGACAAUAAUGGAGAAAAACAAAGCACCUGAUAUGUUAUUGUUUUGAUUGUACACACCUUUAAAGCUUAAUUUGGCUAGGUCCUGCAUGUGCCUGGAACUUUUGGGGACUUAUUCAAGCCUGUUUAAAAGAAGUGCCAACAAUACAUCUUGACUGCAUGCUUUAGGUAACAAAUGGAAGAAUUACUAAAGACAUCAGAGUGACUGGAUAAGCAAACAAAACAUGCUAUAGCAUAGAAGAGUUCUCAGCUGGUAGCAUUCUGUUCAGUUAUUUCAUACAUCCUGUCAUUCCUCUUCUGCAAAGUGUUUUUGUGUGAGUGAAACAAGGUACAGUGUUUUACUUCACAUUUAAUUGUAUCACUUUGAAUUGUUUUCUUGAUCUUUUUCUUGAGUAGUUAUUUUAUUUGGAACGACAUACACGGCAAAGUGUUAAACCUAAAAGGAAACCUUAUUAACAAGCAGGAUUAAAAGUUGUUCCUUUUCCCACACAGGUAGACUUGUUGUGUUCUGCCAUGGUCAUGUGGACAGGUCUCAGCAACUAGAGAAUGCCUGUUUUAUAAAUGAUCGUUUGAAGCUGGCAGCCCAUGGCUUCAACAGCUAUGCUCUCUGUUGGAUAAAAAACUGGCUGGAGGACCAAGCCCAGAGAGCAGGGGUGGAUGGAGUUAAAUCCAGCAGGCAACCUGUCACGAGUGGUGUUCCACAAGGGUCCGUCUUGGGGCCUGUCCUGUUUAAGAUCGUUGCUGAUGAUCUCAACAAGGGGAUUAAGUGAACCCUC
This is a long non-coding RNA of Gallus gallus (chicken), 3147 nucleotides long. Lineage: Eukaryota; Metazoa; Chordata; Aves; Galliformes; Phasianidae. The record is from Ensembl.